AGCCAUCUCUCCAGCCCCCAACACUCUAUGUUCUUAAAUGAGUCAGCUGCUAUUUGUGUGUGUGGGGAGUGUGUGUGUGUGUGUGUGUGUGUGUGUGUGUGUGUGUGUUGUAUAUUGAACUAAGGGCCUUUCAAACACUAAACAUUUGCACCACUACAACUCUAGUCCAGCAGGCAUUGGGAGUAAUGGAAACAGUGGCGCAUUAUAAGCACUGACUUACACAGAAUUUGAAAUCUUUCUGUUUCUAUCUCCCAAGUGCUAGAGUUACAAGUGGACACCAUGGUGCUCAGGCCUCUCACUGAACCUAGAGCUGACUGAUUCUGGCUAGUCUCCCUAGCCAUCUUGACCCUGAGCCCUGGGGUUACAGAUGGUUGCUACACCUGCCUGCUCAGGAUUAUAGGUGACUGCUACACCUCCCUGGCCGGGAUUACAGAGUCAUCUGAAGGUGAGAACUGGAGUUACAGGGCUACAAGCUAAGGAGCCCCAACUAACAGAUGCUACACCCGAAGAGAGGGCAAGGACCAGAUCUCUUCCCAGAACCUCCAGAGACAGUGAACCCUGGGACACUUUGAUUACGUAAACUUCUUGCCUCUAGAAGAUAAGAUAAUUUCUUGCUGUCGGCAACAAUGACAGAGGAUUCUUUUUCAUUUUUGUUGUUGCCGGUUCUUGAGGGGGCAAAUAUACAAGACAGGAUAUAGCCAAGGCCACCCUGGAAGUAUCUAUGUAGACCAGGCUGGCCUCAAACAGUGAUCCUUUUGCCUUAGCCUCCCAAGUACAGAGAUGACAGGUGUGAGCCACCACACCCUGUAGCCUCUGGCUACAAUGUCCAGCUAUUUCUAGUAUAAACUUCUGAUAACCUGUUACAACAGCCCCAGGAAACUCUAGACUACUUUACCUGUAGUCUAGCCAGGUAAACGUGAUUGUCAAAACUUAUUUCCUUGGAGUUGAGCAUGAUGAUGGUGCACGCCUUUAAUCCCAGCACUUGGGAGGCAGAGCCAGGCAGAUCUCUAUGCAUUUGAGGCCAGCCUGAUCUACAUAGUGGGUUCCAAAGCAGCCAUAGAUGCAUAGGAGAGAGAUUGUGUCUCAAACAAACUAAAACAACCCUUACUUCUUCACCUCGCCCUGGAAAGAAGGAGCAGAAGGAAAGGUUACCUGGCUGAAGAGCUGCAUCAUGGACCACAGAUGUGAUGCAGAGCUGCGUCUGAUGGCCCAUGUCUGUCCUGCACUCAUCGGGUGGCUAAGAGUUGGAGGCCAUUCUGGGCUACACAGUGAAUUUCAGGGUUUCUCUCUAGCUUUGGAGCCUCUCCUGGAACUAGCUCUUAUAGACCAGGUUGGCCUUGAAGGCAUGUACCACCACCGCCUGACAGCAGAGGAACCAUCAGAUAGCCUAGUAUACACUCUGUUAUGUAAUUAUUAGUGUUCACUCUUAUGAAGAUUUAUAAGAAGCAAAGAAGCAAGCUGAGCAAGGAAAAAUACAAAAUGUACAGAUCAAGGAGCAAUGGGAGCCCCAGGAAAAAGAGUGACGCUAAAUCCUGUGUUCAAGGAGUUAAAUGGAUUAAAGCAGAAGCUGAUAUUAAAUGGAAUACGGGAGUGGUACCCUCAGUGCGUGAUCCUACCCCGCUAAACUUCCAACUUGUGAAAAGUAAUUAAAGAAAUGCUUUGGUCCAGACAUGGUAGUACACACCUUUAAUCCUAGCACUCAGGAGACAGAGGCAAGCAGAUCUUGGAGUUCAAGCCCAGCCUGGUUUAAAGAACAAGGUCCAGGACAGCCAAGCUUAAGCAGUGAAGAUAACCACGGAGAACAGAAAACUGGUGAAGAUGUAACCAAACAAGGGAGGGGCCAUGUUCCAGCCCCAGCAAGCAUCAGAACUUGGCAGCUUUGGCCGCAUGGUUCUAGCUUUAGAGCUAAGGACAGAAGAACACAGGUUAUGGAAUCUCUCUCCAUGGCUAACGACAGCUGCUGAGGCCAGGCAUGUGUCUGUCAGCAGUGUCCCUGAAUGGAGGCCUAGAGAGGCCAUUGUGUGAAGCUGUAAAAGAAAAGUCUGGAUUUCUUGGGAAACUCCAAGUCUGUCAGCAGUGUCCCUGAAUGGAGGCCUAGAGAGGCCAUUGUGUGAAGCUGUAAAAGAAAAGUCUGGAUUUCUUGGGAAACUCCAAGAUGUUGGAGAUGCCAGGGCCAUUGACUAGCUGCUGAGGAGAGCUGCUGACAGGGAUGGAACCCACCUAGGAGAAAGAAGUGUGUUACAGUCAACAAUGCUGAAAGGCGCUGAAGAGCAUUUGGCAUCAGACGCGGAGAUGCAGAGCCUGGGGUUUGCCUGGCUGGUUUUCAGUCUUGUCUUUGGUCAAAUAUUUCCUCACUAUGUACCCUUCCCUUCCUUUUGGAACAGUGAUGGAUGUCCUGUGCCAUUAUAUGUUAGAAGUAUGUGAUCUGCUUUUUGAUUUUGAUUUUACAGGAAAUGAUUACCGUUAAGAUAUUUUAUGAGUCUCAGAAGAGACUUUGUUCUUUGAAACAAGUUUGAGACUGUGAUAGACUGUGGAGACUUUUGAAAAUUCUUAAAAAGUCUUGUUAGUUAGCCUGCCUAGGCUAUAUAGGGGGUUCGAAGCCAAACCCGGGUUACAUGUGACCCGGUCUCAACAACUCUCCAAAUACGUAAAAAGAAGUGGUUCUUUAGCGUUCAUCGUCUAGCAAGAUCACUGGGUUUUGAGCUGUCCUGGGACCCAACUACAGAACUUUCAUUACAAUAGCAUUUGGUGUCACUCUUGACUGCCUCUGCAUUAUCUAUAAAGCAAAACGGCUAAAGGCAAACUGUGAAUUACUUCCUUUUUGUGGAAGUGGGCCCUGAACCCAGGCCUUGCACAUCCUGCCUAUGCAGGAACCCUAUCAAUAAAUUGGUGUGUUUGGAA
Non-coding RNA from Myodes glareolus (Bank vole), 2901 nucleotides. The record is from RefSeq and is a predicted model, not a curated record. NCBI's taxonomy places the organism in Eukaryota, Metazoa, Chordata, Mammalia, Rodentia, Cricetidae.